AUGUCCAAUCCCGCACGCAACCUCCACCCCGUUCCUCUCUGCCCUGCGCCGCCCCCUCCUCUUGAGAACGAGCACGGCUCUUGUCGCUGUGCCUGGUGGGGAUCCGGUGCAUCCCCUCUCCCCUCGCCUCCUCCUCUCCUGGGUCCCUGCAUUGCCGGCUCAGCCGCUUCCCCUGCGUCUUCUCGUCCCCGCUUCUCUCCUCCUAGUCCAGUCCUGGACCAGAUCGGUGUUUGGCGCAGGAGGCUCGGGGUGGUCGCAGGUUCGGGCGCCAUCUCCUUCCUUCCCGUACACUGGGAUCAAACAGCCCGCGGCCUGGCGGUGGCGGCCUGGAUCCGGAGGCAGACGGACCAGAUCCUGGAGCUGGGCACGAAGGAGCUCGAGGUCGACGACUCCGGCUUCGUCCUCCUCCUCUAA
This 414-nucleotide ribosomal RNA is filed under the name Triticum aestivum (bread wheat). Its description in RNAcentral is "partial small subunit ribosomal RNA". Lineage: Eukaryota; Viridiplantae; Streptophyta; Magnoliopsida; Poales; Poaceae. The record is from RNAcentral.